GACGAACGCUGGCGGCGUGCUUAACACAUGCAAGUCGAACGGAAAGGCCCUGCUUUUGUGGGGUGCUCGAGUGGCGAACGGGUGAGUAACACGUGAGUAACCUGCCCUUGACUUUGGGAUAACUUCAGGAAACUGGGGCUAAUACCGGAUAGGAGCUCCUGCUGCAUGGUGGGGGUUGGAAAGUUUCGGCGGUUGGGGAUGGACUCGCGGCUUAUCAGCUUGUUGGUGGGGUAGUGGCUUACCAAGGCUUUGACGGGUAGCCGGCCUGAGAGGGUGACCGGCGACAUUGGGACUGAGAUAGGGCCCAGAAUCCUACGGGAGGCAGCAGUGGGGAAUAUGGCGCAAUGGGCGGAAGCCUGAUGCAGCAACGCCGCGUGCGGGAUGGCGGCCUUCGGGUUGUAAACCGCUUUCGCCUGUGACGAAGCGUGAGUGACGGUAAUGGGUAAAGAAGCACCGGCUAACUACGUG
Molecule: ribosomal RNA, 468 nt
Filed under: uncultured bacterium
Lineage: Bacteria
Description: partial 16S ribosomal RNA
Rfam family: Bacterial small subunit ribosomal RNA
Source: RNAcentral